This 83-nucleotide transfer RNA is filed under the name Schleiferia thermophila. Its description in RNAcentral is "tRNA-Leu". It matches the Rfam family "tRNA". From Rfam's summary of the family: Transfer RNA (tRNA) molecules are approximately 80 nucleotides in length. Their secondary structure includes four short double-helical elements and three loops (D, anti-codon, and T loops). RNAcentral also lists the same sequence under 1 other name. The record is from RNAcentral. Lineage: Bacteria; Pseudomonadati; Bacteroidota; Flavobacteriia; Flavobacteriales; Schleiferiaceae.
GCCUGAGUGGCGGAACUGGUAGACGCGCACGACUCAAAAUCGUGUACCGCAAGGUGUGCCGGUUCGAUUCCGGCCUCAGGUAC